AAAGAGCAGCAAGAAUGAUCCCCAUGGUCUCCUGGAAGGACAGGAACUCCACCUCUUUUGGAAUGCAGGUGUUGAAAAUAAUGGUGCUUGCUCAUCAUCAUGGUUAAAAGAGGGAAUGGUUAAUAGUACCAGUGGUGUUGCUGAUCUCCCCUUCUGCACAUGGGCUGGAGGUUGGUGACAUCUGGACACCCCCCAUUUUCAAAGGGGCCAUCUCCUGGUUGGCAGGACAGCAUGUUGUGAAUGGC
This is a long non-coding RNA of Anguilla anguilla (European eel), 245 nucleotides long. RefSeq lists it as uncharacterized. The transcript has 3 exons. NCBI's taxonomy places the organism in Eukaryota, Metazoa, Chordata, Actinopteri, Anguilliformes, Anguillidae. The record is from RefSeq and is a predicted model, not a curated record.